AGAGGGGUGGACGAGUUGGCAAAGUCACCAGUCCUGAAAACUGGCGUGCGCUCGCAAGGGCCACCGGGGGUUCAAUUCCCUCUCCCUCUGCCA
RNAcentral lists this transfer RNA (93 nucleotides) under Acidobacteriota bacterium. RNAcentral's name for it is "Acidobacteria bacterium tRNA-Ser". It matches the Rfam family "tRNA". From Rfam's summary of the family: Transfer RNA (tRNA) molecules are approximately 80 nucleotides in length. Their secondary structure includes four short double-helical elements and three loops (D, anti-codon, and T loops). Lineage: Bacteria; Pseudomonadati; Acidobacteriota. The record is from RNAcentral. RNAcentral also lists the same sequence under 1 other name.